AGUGUAAUAAGGCUUUCAUGGGUGGUGGCUCACUCCCUUUUAUAGAAAGGGGGUGAUGCCUAUGACAGUUUUCGAGUCAUUAAUUGUGAUGAUUGCGUUUGCAACGCUUGUUGUUGCAAUUCUGUCAGAAAUGAAGUAACCACCCUGUCAGCCUAGCCAGCAUUUAGGGUGGAUUACUUCUCCUCAAUGUGAGCUGCCCCCUUGAAGGGCUAUUGCACACAAGGCCGAUUGGUGUGAAAGCACUAAUCGG
RNAcentral lists this small RNA (250 nucleotides) under Lentibacillus amyloliquefaciens. RNAcentral describes it as "BsrG". It matches the Rfam family "BsrG". From Rfam's summary of the family: bsrE, bsrG and bsrH pair through intermolecular interactions with antisense sRNAs. The record is from Rfam by way of RNAcentral. Lineage: Bacteria; Bacillati; Bacillota; Bacilli; Caryophanales; Bacillaceae.